CUACUUUCCACAAGUUUAACUAUGACUAACGAGACGUGUUUCACAUUGUCUGAUAUUUAUGAGUUUCUUAACUUGGUUAUAACAUGUUGAGCAGUGGCUAGAUUAAGAGGUUAGGUUAUGCGUAUUAGGAUUAGAUAGUGUUAGAAUAGAUAACCUCCUGAGAAGUGGGCUGUCAUAGACACUAAUUGGUUCUCAUCCACUCAUGAGAUCCGGAGGGACCUUCAUAUACUAUAAGGGGCCGCUUGGUUAGAUAUAAUUAUAAAGGCAGUGUAGCUAGAGAUGCAUGCAGUUGUAAAUACAACAAUUACAACUAUAUUAAUUAAUCCUGUUUGGCUAGGUUAAAAGGUUAAGAGGAUUAUGCGUACUAGGAUUCGAAAGUUUUAGAAUAGGUGAGGCGCUGAAAAGUGGGUUGUCAUACCUAGA
Molecule: long non-coding RNA, 423 nt
Filed under: Ananas comosus (pineapple)
Lineage: Eukaryota; Viridiplantae; Streptophyta; Magnoliopsida; Poales; Bromeliaceae
Description: long non-coding RNA (ACOM_LNC033672)
Source: RNAcentral